GGACAGGUCAGUUUUAUCGCCCAUUCAUAUUCAUGCCAAUUGAUUAAUUGAGAGGUUAAUCCUGCAUUCCAAAUGAUUAAUUGAGAGGUUAAUCAUGUCUCCGUAUAUUCAUGCGAGCCUAUAAAAUCCCAACCUUGCCGCUGCCCCUUUCCUACUCUGCUCAUUUUUGCAAACCAAUCUCCAGUACAAAAAGCGAUGGGUGAUGCUUGGGUUCCACCUCUUUUUGGUUUCAAGGUGAUGUGCUGGUUCCAAUUCUCAGUUGUUGUCUAUAUAUAUAUAUAUAUAUAUAUAUAUAUAUAUAUAUAUAUAUAUAUAUAUAUAUAUAUAUAUAUAUAUAUAUAUAUAUAUAUACUGAUAUGUUAUCUGUCUAAUUCUCAAUUUGAAAUGAUUACAGCUUCUCUCCAAGUAGGAAUUUUAGCUACGGACUGGUUGGUUUCUUUGGUUCUUCGAGCUGAUCCAAUGGCAAUUUUAGACGCCUGAUGUUAAGUCGGGCCCAGUGGGCUCUCUGUUGACCGUUGUAGCACUCUCCGUCUGGUGUUAAACCAC
Molecule: long non-coding RNA, 546 nt
Filed under: Triticum aestivum (bread wheat)
Lineage: Eukaryota; Viridiplantae; Streptophyta; Magnoliopsida; Poales; Poaceae
Description: long non-coding RNA (TAES_LNC003545)
Source: RNAcentral